AGCUACAGGCUUAACACAUGCAAGUCGAGGGGCAGCAUGAACUUAGCUUGCUAAGUUUGAUGGCGACCGGCGCACGGGUGAGUAACGCGUAUCCAACCUUCCGUACACUCAGGAAUAGCCUUUCGAAAGAAAGAUUAAUACCUGAUGGUAUGAUGAGAUUGCAUGAAAUCAUCAUUAAAGAUUCAUCGGUGUACGAUGGGGAUGCGUUCCAUUAGAUAGUAGGCGGGGUAACGGCCCACCUAGUCAACGAUGGAUAGGGGUUCUGAGAGGAAGGUCCCCCACAUUGGAACUGAGACACGGUCCAAACUCCUACGGGAGGCAGCAGUGAGGAAUAUUGGUCAAUGGGCGAUGGCCUGAACCAGCCAAGUAGCGUGAAGGAUGACGG
RNAcentral lists this ribosomal RNA (385 nucleotides) under uncultured Bacteroides sp. RNAcentral's name for it is "bacterial SSU rRNA". It matches the Rfam family "Bacterial small subunit ribosomal RNA", at positions 39 to 414 of the family's 1533-position model. Lineage: Bacteria; Pseudomonadati; Bacteroidota; Bacteroidia; Bacteroidales; Bacteroidaceae. The record is from RNAcentral.